UACGAAGGUCCCAAGCGUUAUCCGGAUUUAUUGGGUUUAAAGGGUGCGUAGGCGGCGCCGUAAGUCGGGUGUGAAAUUUCGGAGCUUAACUCCGAAACUGCAUUCGAUACUGCGGUGCUUGAGGACUGGAGAGGAGACUGGAAUUCAUGGUGUAGCGGUGAAAUGCGUAGAUAUCUGGAGGAACACCGGUGGCGAAGGCGGCAUCCUGGACCGGUAUUGACGCUGAGGCGCGAAAGCCAGGGGAGCAAACGGG
Molecule: ribosomal RNA, 253 nt
Filed under: uncultured bacterium
Lineage: Bacteria
Description: partial 16S ribosomal RNA
Rfam family: Bacterial small subunit ribosomal RNA
Source: RNAcentral